Molecule: ribosomal RNA, 460 nt
Filed under: uncultured bacterium
Lineage: Bacteria
Description: partial 16S ribosomal RNA
Rfam family: Bacterial small subunit ribosomal RNA
Source: RNAcentral
CCUACGGGAGGCAGCAGUGAGGAAUAUUGGUCAAUGGGCGAGAGCCUGAACCAGCCAAGUCGCGUGAAGGAUGACGGCCCUACGGGUUGUAAACUUCUUUUGUCAGGGAGCAAUUUGGUCCACGCGUGGGCUUCGCGAGAGUACCUGCAGAAAAAGCAUCGGCUAACUCCGUGCCAGCAGCCGCGGUAAUACGGAGGAUGCGAGCGUUAUCCGGAUUUAUUGGGUUUAAAGGGUGCGUAGGCGGAAUAUCAAGUCAGCGGUAAAAAUUCGGGGCUCAACCCCGUCGUGCCGUUGAAACUGAUGGUCUUGAGUGGGCGAGAAGUAUGCGGAAUGCGUGGUGUAGCGGUGAAAUGCGUAGAUAUAUGGAAGAACACCAGUGGCGAAAGCGGCUCUCUGGGCUGUAACUGACGCUGAGGUUCGAAAGCGUGGGUAGCAAACAGGAUUAGAUACCCCUGUAGUC